Molecule: ribosomal RNA, 110 nt
Filed under: Acanthosepion pharaonis
Lineage: Eukaryota; Metazoa; Mollusca; Cephalopoda; Sepiida; Sepiidae
Source: RNAcentral
CGCCCGCAUCACGUUUAAACACCAGUUCCUGUACGGUCACCGAAGUUAAGCAACGUCGAGUCUGGUCAGUACCUAGAUGGGUGGCCGCUUGGGAAUAGUAGGUGAUGUAA